Long non-coding RNA from Dromaius novaehollandiae (emu), 1728 nucleotides. RefSeq lists it as uncharacterized. The record is from RefSeq and is a predicted model, not a curated record. NCBI's taxonomy places the organism in Eukaryota, Metazoa, Chordata, Aves, Casuariiformes, Dromaiidae. The transcript is spliced from 2 exons.
GCCCCGCCCCGCCCCGCCGCCGCCGCUAACGGCCGCGCCAACGGCCGCGCCGGGGGAGGGGGCGGCUGCGGGCCGCCCCCGCCACCCCCAGCCACGCAGCGAGCAACGGGCGGCGGCAGCGGCGCCACAGCGGGGUGGAGGGGUUUCCCUCCCCCCCCCCCCUUUUCCGAGAUAAAAAUCUCAGGGCAGCGGAGGCCGUAGCCUUGACGAGGCUAUUAAGAUGCUGUCUCUCAUCUGCGCGUGAACACUUGCUCCCGGUGCCAUCUGAUCUCGCACCCGACCUUCACAUUGCAGGGAUGAAUUGCAAAAUAAUUUCCUGGAGUACAGGAAGGGAGAACAGACGAAUGAUGUGCCCUGCUUCACCGAGGAGCUCCUACGCCUUUGGAUCGUCUUCCCAAGUCAGCAGUCCCAAGUGGGCAUGAAGGAUUCCACGUCACCUGUUGGGAAGAAAUUGGUAUCAGUGCAGCAAGUCUUGCGACUCCGAAGUUUGCUAUGCCACAUACUUUUAAAUUAAAAUGAAAGCAAGCCGCUACCUUACAGCUAGGCAAAUUGGCUGUUUGGUGGGCUAGGCUUCACACAGUUGUUCUCAAAUGUCCUCUGUGUCAAAGUAAACAGUGCCGAAGCUUUUUUUUUUUUUUUUUUUUUUUGGUCUUUUUGAAAAACAUUACAACUAUUUCUGGCACUUUCUGAUACAUUUUGGUAUUCGUUUUAGAUUUCAUGUCUGUUUUUUUAAGAGAGCUUCCUGAGUGUGUUGUGUAGUUAGCAACAUACUGAAGAACAAGAAGUUUUGGCUUUGGUAUUACUAAAUUGGUUUGUGUUUGUGGGUGAAACGUGACUUCCCUCAGUGCCUGCGUACCUAUAAGCAUCCUGAUAUUUAGUGCAGAGUUUUGAUAGUAGUAUCACAGCAGGGCCCUUACGGUCUUUGGAUGGAGUGUGCCCUACAGGGACGAUCCAUGGAAAUCAUGGCUUUGGUUUGCUGCGGAUCAUGCCAUCAGUACAAAGUGGCAGUGUUAUUUUAUCACUAACAAAAAUACACAAUUUACUGUAGGUGAGCUUACUCCAGGUGCAAAACAUCUGGAAGGAACAUUAUGUCAUCUGUUCCAUUUUCUGCUAAAGUUCAUAUUUGUCACCAGAUAACCUCACUCAGAUUUGCAGGCAGAGCCACUAGAGCACAUAAAAAUCCUUGGAAAAGGGGAUUCAUUCUGUCGAGAGGAAAAUUCGGCAAUACGGCUUUACAAGUCAUAGAGCAAACCAUAUAAUGACUCAUUAUUUAUCAACAAAGAAACAGCCACAAGCAGGAUGUAGUGGUCUGGGAUAGGCUGAUGUCACAGCAAGGACUGGGAAAACUGCAAAGACAAUUAAAGUAUUAUGACUAUCUUUAACCACAUAAUACAAUCAGACACUUUAUUACUAUUAUUAGUCACUACAAUUCUGUAAUUCUACAACCCACUCCAUCCGUGUAUGAAGUUGUGAAAAAUUUAUGUAGCAGAUCAUUAAUUUUUCUUACAAAUUCUUCUCAUUUAAAUUUUUCUAAGAGAUGUCUAAACUGGGCAAAGUGGUUUUGGAAAAAAAAAAAGACCCCUGAAGUUAUCCCUUGGGGAACAAAAAUACAGUAUUGCCAACACAGUCUAUUCAGAAGAAUGAAUCAGAAGAAUGAACCAGCCUUCUGGAGAAAGAAAGAGAGUGGUUCAAACCGUAAGACUAAAUAAAAAAAUGUGAUAUUCUUUA